Molecule: non-coding RNA, 435 nt
Organism: Arachis ipaensis
Lineage: Eukaryota; Viridiplantae; Streptophyta; Magnoliopsida; Fabales; Fabaceae
Source: RefSeq, a predicted model, not a curated record
GACUGGCUAUUCUAGAUUCAGAUGGUUGGUAUUUCAUCUUCUUGCAUGCUACUGCAUGUUCAUAAGAACCUGAUAAUGAUAUAUAAUAUAAAACUCUAGUCUUAAAUUUGUGUCCCCUUUUGUAGGCUCCUGUAAAUUAUGUUUCUCUUUAUUGUGUAAAACCAAUUUUGAGGGCGCUGUCCAUGGCAAUAUCUACAGUUUCAAUCCAUAUCUUUGGUGAUGUGCCUUCCUCACCACUUGUUGGCAUCCUGCAGGAUCAUAUUAAUGACUGGAGGAAAAUAGCACUUUGUUUAACAUCCAUUUUCUUUCUUGCUGCUAUAAUAUGAUUCAUAGAACACGUACUGAAGAAAUUGCUGGAUGUUGCCCAUGGGUUUCAAAUGUUAAUAGACCCUAAAGGAGUGCUGAAAUGGUGACCAUAUGCUACCUUGAGGGCUC